AGUCGAGCGAGCGGAACUAACAGAUUUACUUCGGUAAUGACGUUAGGAAAGCGAGCGGCGGAUGGGUGAGUAACACGUGGGGAACCUGCCCCAUAGUCUGGGAUACCACUUGGAAACAGGUGCUAAUACCGGAUAAGAAAGCAGAUCGCAUGAUCAGCUUUCAAAAGGCGGCGUAAGCUGUCGCUAUGGGAUGGCCCCGCGGUGCAUUAGCUAGUUGGUAAGGUAGAGGCUUACCAAGGCGAUGAUGCAUAGCCGAGUUGAGAGACCGAUCGGCCACAUUGGGACUGAGACACGGCCCAAACUCCUACGGGAGGCAGCAGUAGGGAAUCUUCCACAAUGGACGCAAGUCUGAUGGAGCAACGCCGCGUGAGUGAAGAAGGUUUUCGGAUCGUAAAGCUCUGUUGUUGGUGAAGAAGGAUAGAGGUAGUAACUGGCCUUUAUUUGACGGUAAUCAACCAGAAAGUCACGGCUAACUACGUGCCAGCAGCCGCGGUAAUACGUAGGUGGCAAGCGUUGUCCGGAUUUAUUGGGCGUAAAGCGAGCGCAGGCGGAAGAAUAAGUCUGAUGUGAAAGCCCUCGGCUUAACCGAGGAACUGCAUCGGAAACUGUUUUUCUUGAGUGCAGAAGAGGAGAGUGGAACUCCAUGUGUAGCGGUGGAAUGCGUAGAUAUAUGGAAGAACACCAGUGGCGAAGGCGGCUCUCUGGUCUGCAACUGACGCUGAGGCUCGAAAGCAUGGGUAGUGAACAGGAUUAGAUACCCUGGUAGUCCAUGCCGUANACGAUGAGUGCUAAGUGUUGGGAGGUUUCCGCCUCUCAGUGCUGCAGCUAA
This 829-nucleotide ribosomal RNA is filed under the name uncultured bacterium. RNAcentral describes it as "bacterial SSU rRNA". It matches the Rfam family "Bacterial small subunit ribosomal RNA", at positions 60 to 855 of the family's 1533-position model. The record is from RNAcentral.